This 61-nucleotide transfer RNA is filed under the name Espanoliella jeanneli. RNAcentral describes it as "tRNA-Ser". Lineage: Eukaryota; Metazoa; Arthropoda; Insecta; Coleoptera; Leiodidae. The record is from RNAcentral.
GGCUUAUAAAGUAAACUUAGGUUUUAUAUUGAAAAUAGGAUUUUAGUGUGUAUAUGAGCCU